UACAUGGGGUGCAAACGUUGCUCGGAAUUAUUGGGCGUAAAGCGCGCGUAGGCGGUUACUUAAGUCGGAUGUGAAAGCCCUCGGCUUAACUGAGGAAGUGCACCCGAAACUGAGUAGCUAGAGUACGAAAGAGGGUCGCGGAAUUCCCGGUGUAGAGGUGAAAUUCGUAGAUAUCGGGAGGAACACCAGUGGCGAAGGCGACUUCCUGGCCUGUUCUUGACGCUGAGGCGCGAAAGCUAGGGGAGCAAACGGG
Molecule: ribosomal RNA, 253 nt
Filed under: uncultured bacterium
Lineage: Bacteria
Description: partial 16S ribosomal RNA
Rfam family: Bacterial small subunit ribosomal RNA
Source: RNAcentral